RNAcentral lists this ribosomal RNA (497 nucleotides) under uncultured bacterium. Its description in RNAcentral is "partial 16S ribosomal RNA". It matches the Rfam family "Bacterial small subunit ribosomal RNA", at positions 28 to 507 of the family's 1533-position model. The record is from RNAcentral.
GAUGAACGCUGGCGGCGUGCCUAAUACAUGCAAGUCGAGCGAACGGACGAGAAGCUUGCUUCUCUGAUGUUAGCGGCGGACGGGUGAGUAACACGUGGAUAACCUACCUAUAAGACUGGGAUAACUUCGGGAAACCGGAUCUAAUACCGGAUAAUAUUUUGAACCGCAUGGUUCAAAAGUGAAAGACGGUCUUGCUGUCACUUAUAGAUGGAUCCGCGCUGCAUUAGCUAGUUGGUAAGGUAACGGCUUACCAAGGCAACGAUGCAUAGCCGACCUGAGAGGGUGAUCGGCCACACUGGAACUGAGACACGGUCCAGACUCCUACGGGAGGCAGCAGUAGGGAAUCUUCGGCAAUGGGCGAAAGCCUGACGGAGCAACGCCGCGUGAGUGAUGAAGGUCUUCGGAUCGUAAAACUCUGUUAUUAGGGAAGAACAGAUGUGUAAGUAAAUGAGGACAUCUUGACGGUACCUAAUCAGAAAGCAACGGCUAACUACGUG